GUAGUAUAUAAAUAUUAACCGUAGACAGCAGGAGCGUACAGCUUAAAAUACUAUCCUGCCGAGGUGCGUGAUAUACCCCCUCGUCUACACAUUACAAAUAGACAGGGGUUUUUCGUACCGAAU
This is a regulatory RNA element of Eubacterium saphenum ATCC 49989, 123 nucleotides long. It matches the Rfam family "Ribosomal protein L10 leader". Rfam says of the family: This family is a putative r-protein leader autoregulatory structure found in B. subtilis and other low-GC Gram-positive bacteria. NCBI's taxonomy places the organism in Bacteria, Bacillati, Bacillota, Clostridia, Peptostreptococcales, Anaerovoracaceae. The record is from Rfam.